CUCCCGGCGGCGCGGGGGCCCCACCCUGGCUCGCUCCCUGCGGUCAUUCCCGCGGCCUCCAGCUCUCGGCUUCUCGGGAAAUAACUCUGCUUAGGAGUCAGCGAAGCACCUCUUGUGGUACCUGCAAACAUAAGCCCCAUUAGAGGGCUUCCUCUGGGAGCAGCUGCAAAAACUGGGGCACCAGACAUGUGGACGAGCUCCUUUUUGGGAUAUACUGAUGACCUACCUGGAGUGAGGCAGAGGGAGAACAGGAAGAUGUCCCUACCAGUCUCUGUGGUUUCUGGAGAAUAUUGCAGUUGGCCUCCAGAAGUGUUUUAAAUUAGAAACCUGCCCCUCAAGCCAAAGCUUUAAAGUUUUAAAAAUAAGCACUGCUGGCACAAGAACGGACACUCAGAUCAAUGGAACAGAAUAAAGAACCCAGAAAUGGACCCACAAACGUAUGGCCAACUAAUCUUUGACAAAGCAGCAAAGAAUAUCCAAUGGAAUAAAGACCGUCUCUUCAAGUGGUGCUGGGAAAACUGGACAGCGACAUGCAGAAGAAUGAACCUGGGCCACUUUCUUACACCAUACACAGAAGUAAACUCAAAAUGGAUGAAAGACCUAGAUGUAAGACAGGAAGCCAUCAAAAUACUCGAGGAGAAAGCAGGCAAAAACUUCUUUGAUCUUGGCCGCAGCAACUUCUUACUCAAUACGUCUCUGGAGACAAGGGAAACAAAAGCAAAAAUGAACUACUGGGACCUCAUCAAAAUAAAAAGCUUCUGCUUUUUAUUAAAAGCGAAGGAAAUAAUCAGCAAAACUAGAAGGCAACCGACAGAAUGGGAGAAGAUAUUUGCAAAUGACAUAUCAGAUAAAGGGUUAGUGUCCAAAAUCUAUAAAGAACUUAUCAAACUCAACACCCAAAAAACAAAUAAUCCAGUGAAGAAAUGGGCAAAAGACAUGAACAGACACUUCUUCAAGGAAGUGCAUCCAGAUGGCCAACCAACACAUGAAAAAAUGCUCAACAUCACUCAUCAUCAGGGAAAUACAAAUCAAGACCACAAUGAGAUACCACCUCACCCCUGUCAGAACGGCUAACAUUAACAACUCAGGCAACAACAGAUGUUGGCAAGGAUGCUGAGAAAGAGGAUCUCUUUUGCACUGCUGGUGGGAAUGCAAGCUGGUGCAGCCACUCUGGAAAACAGUAUGGAUGUUCCUCAAAAAAUUAAAAAUAGAACUACCCUAUGACCCAGCAAUUGCUCUACUAGGCAUUUAUCCACGGGAUACAGGUGUGCUGUUUCGAAGGGACACAUGCACCCCCAUGUUUAUAGUAACACUAUCAACAAUAGCCAAAGUAUGGCAAGAGCCCAAAUUUCCAUCAAUGGAUGAAUGGAUAAAGAAGAUGUGGUAUAUAUAUAUAACGGAGUAUUACUUGGCAAUCAAAAAGAAUGAAAUCUUGCCAUUUGCAACUACGUGGAUGGAACUGGAGGGUAUUAUGCUAAGUGAAAUUAGUCAGAGAAAGACAAAAAUCAUAUGACUUCACUCAUCUGAGGACUUUAAGAGACAAAACAGAUGAACAUAUGGGAAGGGAAACAAAUAUAAAAACAAGGAGGGGGACAAAACAGAAGAGACUCAUAAAUAUAGAGAACAAACUGAGGGUUGCUGGAGGGGUUGUGGGAGGGGGGGUGGGCUAAAUGGGUAAAGGGCACUAAGGAAUCUACUCCUGAAAUCAUUGUUGCACUAUAUGCUAACUACUUUGGAUAUAAAUUUUAAAAAAUUAAAAAAUUAAAAAACUAGAAAAUAAAAAAAAUAUAUUAAGUGUAAAAAAAAAUAAGCACUGAGUCAUGUUGUUAUAGGGUAGGCAAAUGAUCCUCCCUGAUUAUGAAAAGUCUGAACCGGUGAUAGGUUAUUCCUGAACGUUUAGAAAAGAGGCACUGAGAGUACUUUGGUUUGGGUUCAAGUAAAAAGCCUUCAAAUGAAGAUUUUGGAAUUGAAGAGCUCCAUCUUCAGGAUGCAUCAUCUGACAUCUCAAUGUUCACAAAGCCUGACUGAAAGAAGCCAUACCUAAACCAGCCCACUCAGCAUUAACACACACCUCUUUUCUUUUAGAAUUUUACUUUAAUAUAGAGUGGAAAAACAAACAAACAAACAAACAAAAAACCCAAACCCUAACAGGUUAAAAUCAAACAACCACUCUACACAGACAAAACCUUCACAGAGGUCAACUGAAGUAAUCCAGAGCUAAAACUGAAUUGUGCAGAUUUUCAAUGAAGUCACCAGUUGUGUAACACAAAGGCAAUUAUUUACACACUAGGCAAGCCCUCUAAGAAAUGUGCCCGAAGAAGCAUUAACCUUUGUUUUUUGUGUGUGCCAUCCUGAAGAUUUGCACAUUUUUUUUUUUAGAUAAUUUAACAUUUUUAAUAGAAUGUGAUCUCUACCGUGCGGUAAUGCUGUGGUACUCUUUAUUUAGGAUUCCUCAUCCUAAAACUUGACAUUUCCCCAGAGGAGCUUUGAUUCUGCUUUAGAAGUUUCAAUAUAGAUUAAAAUCUUUAUCAAAAAUCAAUACAGAGGGAGGUGACAGAGGAUGCAACAUAUAUGCUCAAGUUACCUCUUUGUAUGUUUAGAAAUUACUCCUUCAAGGUAUUUGCACCAGAGAGCUUUGCCCUGCUUAAUAUUCAGUAGUACAGGUUUGAAUCAUCAGAACCUUGGCAAGACCUUAAAUUAUUAACAACUACCUCUUGGGGCAAGUCCGUGUUACUGAGUUAUGACAAAUUUAUUAUCAUGAAGGAAAACAAGCACAGCCAGUCAUCCUAAAAAUGCCCCAACCACUGCUUCUCAAUAUAGAAAGACUAAAACUACAUGUUUAUCAUACAACAAAUCUCGUCUCUGUCCUCUGAAAUUCCCCUAGUUUCAUUCAUUAAAAGGGGAUUAAAAAAAAAAAAGACUUAAAGAGCACUUUACAGCAUCAUUCAGCUUUCCUAUGAAAUACUCAACAUCUUUUUUUUUUUUAAUU
Long non-coding RNA from Panthera uncia (snow leopard), 2989 nucleotides. RefSeq lists it as uncharacterized. Lineage: Eukaryota; Metazoa; Chordata; Mammalia; Carnivora; Felidae. The transcript has 3 exons. The record is from RefSeq and is a predicted model, not a curated record.